RNAcentral lists this long non-coding RNA (1351 nucleotides) under Homo sapiens (human). Its description in RNAcentral is "non-protein coding lnc-ACP1-16:1". The record is from RNAcentral. Lineage: Eukaryota; Metazoa; Chordata; Mammalia; Primates; Hominidae.
UCAGAGGCCAACAUCCUUCCUUGUCUUCAGAGAACCCCCUCCUGAGCACAGCGCCCCUCCAAGAGAUUGUUCUAGGAAACUACUGUGCUGGAAAAUAACUGAAGAUGGAGAAAGAGGCUGUUGUCAUUGGAAAGGCAGUCACGCAAUGCUGGGCAUGGGGUCGAAGUAAACGCCGUUAAGCUGUUGCUUUAUUCUGUGUCCUCUGGAUCCUUCCGACGCCCAGCUAAAUGCACGUCUCCCCUUUCCUUGGCCGUCCUUCUAAACGUGCAUGUAGUCAGAUCAUUUCUCAGGAACAUGCAUUCAAAGUGCCUCCUCUUCUGUAGAAUUUGGAGGUCUGUGCACAAUACAGGCUCCCUGCAGGACCCCCAGGGGCUCCCUCAAAUUCCUACGGUCUCCACCCUUCUUCAUCUGCCCAAACACCAAGAGUGAACCCCAACAGAAGCUGUGGACACCCUGUGAUGUCACAGUGUGUGCCCUUGGAGGCUCAUCCACUGUAACCACUGUAAAAAAGUCAAUUCUUAAAAAAAAAACAGGAUGGAGACAAACCUUUCAGAUACAAUACAUGAACUUGGGUUCAAAAACAGUAAGAAAACUCUCUCCAGGGCAAUUACAGAAAUGUAAGUAGAGGCUGUAUCCUAGAUGGUAUUAUUCAAUCAGUGCUAGUUUCUUAGGUGGGUGUGAUCAUGAAUAGUGCUGUAUUUUGAAACUUUCAAUUUGACAAAUCACAUCUAUAUUUAAUUAAUAUGAAACAAAAAAACUAAUACUAAAACUACGGCUUCCUUCACCUCCUAGCCAGCCCUGCCCCACCCACCGCCGCACAUUGAAAAACAGAACUAAUGUUGAUUUUUCCUGUGCGUGGCACGUGGUGCAUAAAAGCCUGCGCUUUCUUUUCUGAGUCAGGUCCCCUUACAUGCAGGGCACGCUGUUGGAGCCCUCAGUGGCGCUGCAUGGUAUGGGCAGGGCUGAGGGAGGGCUGCCCACACGAAAGGACACUUUUCCUUGCUGGGGACACUUGGCUUAUCUGAUGUCAAUUCCCCUGGGUUAUGUCUGAUUUUUCACACAGGUGAAUAACGGGUCCAAGGCUACAGACAUAGCAGGUGGUAUGUCCAGAAUUUUACCCCAUUUGUCCUGUGCCAAAUUCUGUUGAUUUUGGUUAGUUAAUUUACCUGGGCCCCUGACCCCCUAGUAUAUAAGGUGUGAGACCCCCUGAGGGUACAGCACCUGGUUCUUAAUAUAUAUUAUAAUGGCCCAUCUUUUCUAUUCGUUCCUGAUAAAAUGUUUCAUUUUAACGAAGAUCCGAGUGUUUUAAGGAAACUGAAGUUCGCGGAGCGGCUGCAGGACACCAGAAGCU